GAGUUUGAUCUUGGCUCAGAUUGAACGCUGGCGGCAUGCCUUACACAUGCAAGUCGAACGGCAGCACGGGAGCUUGCUCCUGGUGGCGAGUGGCGAACGGGUGAGUAAUGCAUCGGAACGUAUCCUGGAGUGGGGGACAACGUAGCGAAAGUUACGCUAAUACCGCAUAUUCUGUGAGCAGGAAAGCGGGGGACCUUCGGGCCUCGCGCUCUUGGAGCGGCCGAUGUCGGAUUAGCUAGUUGGUGAGGUAAAGGCUCACCAAGGCGACGAUCCGUAGCAGGUCUGAGAGGAUGAUCUGCCACACUGGAACUGAGACACGGUCCAGACUCCUACGGGAGGCAGCAGUGGGGAAUUUUGGACAAUGGGGGCAACCCUGAUCCAGCCAUGCCGCGUGAGUGAAGAAGGCCU
RNAcentral lists this ribosomal RNA (408 nucleotides) under bacterium enrichment culture clone ALO1_GLFRUDD03G2WNW. RNAcentral's name for it is "bacterial SSU rRNA". It matches the Rfam family "Bacterial small subunit ribosomal RNA", at positions 9 to 417 of the family's 1533-position model. The record is from RNAcentral.